UCGUCAGCUCGUGUCGUGAGAUGUUGGGUUAAGUCCCGUAACGAGCGCAACCCUUGUCCUUAGUUACCAGCACCUCGGGUGGGCACUUUAAGGAGACUGCCGGUGACAAACCGGAGGAAGGUGGGGAUGACGUCAAGUCAUCAUGGCCCUUACGGCCAGGGCUACACACGUGCUACAAUGGUCGGUACAAAGGGUUGCCAAGCCGCGAGGUGGAGCUAAUCCCAUAAAACCGAUCGUAGUCCGGAUCGCAGUCUGCAACUCGACUGCGUGAAGUCGGAAUCGCUAGUAAUCGUGAAUCAGAAUGUCACGGUGAAUACGUUCCCGGGCCUUGUACACACCGCCCGUCACACCAUGGGAGUGGGUUGCUCCAGAAGUAGCUAGUCUAACCGCAAGGGGGACGGUUACCACGGAGUGAUUCAUGAC
RNAcentral lists this ribosomal RNA (423 nucleotides) under Pseudomonas aeruginosa. RNAcentral's name for it is "bacterial SSU rRNA". It matches the Rfam family "Bacterial small subunit ribosomal RNA", at positions 1052 to 1475 of the family's 1533-position model. Lineage: Bacteria; Pseudomonadati; Pseudomonadota; Gammaproteobacteria; Pseudomonadales; Pseudomonadaceae. The record is from RNAcentral.